CCUGCGGAAUAGCUCCGGGAAACUGGAAUUAAUACCGCAUACGCCCUACGGGGGAAAGAUUUAUCGGGGAAGGAUUGGCCCGCGUUGGAUUAGCUAGUUGGUGGGGUAAAGGCCUACCAAGGCGACGAUCCAUAGCUGGUCUGAGAGGAUGAUCAGCCACAUUGGGACUGAGACACGGCCCAAACUCCUACGGGAGGCAGCAGUGGGGAAUAUUGGACAAUGGGCGCAAGCCUGAUCCAGCCAUGCCGCGUGAGUGAUGAAGGCCUUAGGGUUGUAAAGCUCUUUCACCGGAGAAGAUAAUGACGGUAUCCGGAGAAGAAGCCCCGGCUAACUUCGUGCCAGCAGCCGCGGUAAUACGAAGGGGGCUAGCGUUGUUCGGAAUUACUGGGCGUAAAGCGCACGUAGGCGGAUAUUUAAGUCAGGGGUGAAAUCCCAGAGCUCAACUCUGGAACUGCCUUUGAUACUGGGUAUCUUGAGUAUGGAAGAGGUAAGUGGAAUUCCGAGUGUAGAGGUGAAAUUCGUAGAUAUUCGGAGGAACACCAGUGGCGAAGGCGGCUUACUGGUCCAUUAC
Molecule: ribosomal RNA, 571 nt
Filed under: Agrobacterium tumefaciens
Lineage: Bacteria; Pseudomonadati; Pseudomonadota; Alphaproteobacteria; Hyphomicrobiales; Rhizobiaceae
Description: bacterial SSU rRNA
Rfam family: Bacterial small subunit ribosomal RNA
Source: RNAcentral